GCAUCUGGACUAGAUGCCCGAUCCACCUCAACUGGCUCCUUGUGAAGAAGCGGUUCUACUCCAAGCUCUCUCUGGGUGACCGAGCUCCUCACCCUUUCUCUAAGGAAGCGAACAGCCACCCUACAGAGGAAGCUCAUCUCAGCCACUUGUAUUCUGGGCGUUGUUCUUUCGGUCAUGACCAUAGGAAGUAACACGUUGUCAGAGGCUCAGCGGCCAUCAGACUGCACAUCCUGGAGGAUGAGGGCGCGUGAGGGAAUCCAGAGGAAGAAGGGCAGAGCUCAGCAGUCUCCAUGAUUCAUCAAACACAUCAAUUCUCUUUCAUGCCUUCAGACCUCAGCUGAGCACGGAAAACAUCCACUCGAGUCUGCAGGAAGAUGCCGGCAUUUCAAAGUAUGCUUAAAGUUGAAAAACCAAAAGACUUUUCCGAAGAGGAUGGUGUUUCCCAGAGAAAUUCAACCCUGUGAUCAUGGGAGCAGUCGGGACUCUCCAGCAGAGAAAUGACUGUCAGCCAGGAUGAGGGAGUGACUUUCUAUCGCCACUGUAAACACAUUAACUGAAGUGAUUCACAUCAAGAUUUGAAUGCAUUAAACAAGAGAUUUUACAAUG
This is a non-coding RNA of Oryzias latipes (Japanese medaka), 606 nucleotides long. The record is from RefSeq and is a predicted model, not a curated record. Lineage: Eukaryota; Metazoa; Chordata; Actinopteri; Beloniformes; Adrianichthyidae.